Molecule: long non-coding RNA, 550 nt
Filed under: Erythranthe guttata (spotted monkey flower)
Lineage: Eukaryota; Viridiplantae; Streptophyta; Magnoliopsida; Lamiales; Phrymaceae
Description: long non-coding RNA (EGUT_LNC003520)
Source: RNAcentral
ACUAAGCAAGAUCCCUUCGUCUGGCUUCAACGGCUUCUUUUCGAUUGGCUGGAGCUCGUUAAACAUGAUGCUAGCAUCUUCUCCAAACACUUCGAGCAAGUGUGUGCCUAUGUCUCUGUUGAUUUUGUUUGUUAAGGAUGUGAAGUACUGCAGUAAUGAUUCAAAUGGAAUCUCUUUCGUCUUGUAAGAGUCCUGAUUAACGCCGUUUUCUUUUUCUUUUUCAGGGCCUAUUUGCUCUGUUUCUUUGUCUAUAAGCCCUCCACUGUGGCAAGAAUCAGACAGGAUAGUAAAGGCUGCUCCUUUCGGAACACGAUUCACAAGCUGCCUGAAAUCAGCACCUGCCGAAAAAGGUAUCAAUCAUAUUGUUUAAUUAUUCAAGUUCGUAAUUUCAUUUUUUUUAAUCAAAAUAUGAUUUACGAAAAACUUACUGGUGAUGAGAUUGAAAUCACAAGGUACAAUUGCUUCCUCUUGCUUGGAUGAAUUUUUAUUGAUCAAAGUUCCAUGGCCAGAGUAAUGGAAAAACAAGGUGUCUCCUUUUUCUGCCCGAUCG